Molecule: ribosomal RNA, 253 nt
Filed under: uncultured bacterium
Lineage: Bacteria
Description: partial 16S ribosomal RNA
Rfam family: Bacterial small subunit ribosomal RNA
Source: RNAcentral
UACGUAGGGUGCAAGCGUUGUCCGGAAUUAUUGGGCGUAAAGGGCUCGUAGGCGGUUUGUCACGUCGGGAGUGAAAACUCGGGGCUCAACCCCGAGCCUGCUUCCGAUACGGGCAGACUAGAGGUAUGCAGGGGAGAAUGGAAUUCCUGGUGUAGCGGUGAAAUGCGCAGAUAUCAGGAGGAACACCGGUGGCGAAGGCGGUUCUCUGGGCAUUACCUGACGCUGAGGAGCGAAAGUGUGGGGAGCGAACAGG